AUGGAGUUGGAACUGAGAUUAAUUUUUAUUUUUGCUUUCUUAAACGAUGUCAAGGGUGAAGUGAAGCUGGUGGAAUCUGGAGGAGGCUUGCUGAAACCCGGGGGUUCUCUGAAACUCUCUUGUGUAGCCUCAGGAUUCACUUUCAGUAACACCUGGAUGAGCUGGGUUCGACAGACUCCUGGAAAGAGACUGGAGUGGAUUGGAAACAUUAAAUAUGAUGGCACUGAGACUAACUAUGCACCAUCCAUAAAGGAUCGAUUCACAAUCUCCAGAGACAAUGCCAAGAGCACCCUGUACCUGCAGAUGAGAAGUGUGAGAUCUGAGGACACUGCCACGUAUUACUGUACUACAUACACAAACUUUUGGUUUUUUGAGACAGGGUUUCUCUAUAUACCCUUGGAUGUCUAG
Rattus rattus (black rat) is the source of this 408-nucleotide non-coding RNA. The record is from the annotation of a RefSeq genome assembly. NCBI's taxonomy places the organism in Eukaryota, Metazoa, Chordata, Mammalia, Rodentia, Muridae.